Molecule: ribosomal RNA, 460 nt
Filed under: uncultured bacterium
Lineage: Bacteria
Description: partial 16S ribosomal RNA
Rfam family: Bacterial small subunit ribosomal RNA
Source: RNAcentral
CCUACGGGGGGCAGCAGUGAGGAAUAUUGGUCAAUGGACGAGAGUCUGAACCAGCCAAGUCGCGUGAAGGAUGACUGCCCUAUGGGUUGUAAACCUCUUUUAUAUGGGAAUAAAAUGUUCCACGUGUGGGCUUUUGUAUGUACCAUACGAAUAAGGAUCGGCUAACUCCGUGCCAGCAGCCGCGGUAAUACGGAGGGUCCGAGCGUUAUCCGGAUUUAUUGGGUUUAAAGGGAGCGUAGGUGGAUUGUUAAGUCAGGUGUGAAAGUUUGGGGCUCAACCGGAGAAUUGCAGUUGAAACUGGCAGUCUUGAGUACAGUAGAGGUGGGCGGAAUGCGUGGUGUAGCGGUGAAAUGCUUAGAGAUCACGAAGAACUCCGAUUGCGAAGGCAGCUCACUGGACUGCGACUGACACUGAGGCUCGAAAGUGUGGGUAUCAAACAGGAUUAGAUACCCUGGUAGUC